This 554-nucleotide ribosomal RNA is filed under the name uncultured bacterium. Its description in RNAcentral is "partial 16S ribosomal RNA". It matches the Rfam family "Bacterial small subunit ribosomal RNA", at positions 355 to 900 of the family's 1533-position model. The record is from RNAcentral.
UAGGGAAUCUUCCACAAUGGACGCAAGUCUGAUGGAGCAACGCCGCGUGAGUGAAGAAGGUUUUCGGAUCGUAAAGCUCUGUUGUUGGUGAAGAAGGAUAGAGGCAGUAACUGGUCUUUAUUUGACGGUAAUCAACCAGAAAGUCACGGCUAACUACGUGCCAGCAGCCGCGGUAAUACGUAGGUGGCAAGCGUUGUCCGGAUUUAUUGGGCGUAAAGCGAGCGCAGGCGGAAUGAUAAGUCUGAUGUGAAAGCCCACGGCUCAACCGUGGAACUGCAUCGGAAACUGUCAUUCUUGGGUGCAGAAGAGGAGAGUGGAACUCCAUGUGUAGCGGUGGAAUGCGUAGAUAUAUGGAAGAACACCAGUGGCGAAGGCGGCUCUCUGGUCUGCAACUGACGCUGAGGCUCGAAAGCAUGGGUAGCGAACAGGAUUAGAUACCCUGGUAGUCCAUGCCGUAAACGAUGAGCGCUAGGUGUUGGGGACUUUCCGGUUCUCAGUGCCGCAGCAAACGCAUUAAGCGCUCCGCCUGGGGAGUACGACCGCAAGGUUGAAAC